GUUUCCGUAGCUCAGUCGGAUUCAGAGCGCUUCGUUGCGGACGAAGAGGUCGGGGGUUCGAUUCCCUCCGGGAACG
This 76-nucleotide transfer RNA is filed under the name Archangium sp. RNAcentral's name for it is "tRNA-Arg". It matches the Rfam family "tRNA". Rfam says of the family: Transfer RNA (tRNA) molecules are approximately 80 nucleotides in length. Their secondary structure includes four short double-helical elements and three loops (D, anti-codon, and T loops). Lineage: Bacteria; Pseudomonadati; Myxococcota; Myxococcia; Myxococcales; Archangiaceae. The record is from RNAcentral.